Molecule: ribosomal RNA, 468 nt
Filed under: uncultured bacterium
Lineage: Bacteria
Description: partial 16S ribosomal RNA
Rfam family: Bacterial small subunit ribosomal RNA
Source: RNAcentral
GACGAACGCUGGCGGCGUGCUUAACACAUGCAAGUCGAACGGAAAGGCCCGGCUUUUGUUGGUUUCUCGAUUGGCGAAGGGGGGAGUGACACGUGAGGAACCUGCCCUUGACUUUGGGGUAACUUCAGGGAACUGGGGCGAAUACCGGAGAGGAGCUACUGCUGCAUGGUGGGGGUUGGAAAGUUUCGGCGGUUGGGUAUGGACUCGCGGCUUAUCAGCUGGUUGGGGAGGUAGUGGCUUACCAAGGCUUUGACGGGUAGCCGGCCUGAGAGGGUGAACGGCCACCUUGGGACUGAGAUACGGCCCAGACUCCUACGGGACGCAGUAGUGGGGAAUAUUGCACAAUGGGCGGAAGCCUGAUGCAGAAACGCCGCGUGCGGGAUGCCGGCUUUCGGGUUGUAAACCGAUUUCGACUGUGCCGAAGAGUGAGUGACGGUACCGGGUCAAGAAGCAACGGCUAACUACGUG